RNAcentral lists this unclassified non-coding RNA (280 nucleotides) under Hevea brasiliensis (rubber tree). Lineage: Eukaryota; Viridiplantae; Streptophyta; Magnoliopsida; Malpighiales; Euphorbiaceae. The record is from RNAcentral.
GUCAGAACCAUGCCUUGGUAGAUGAAGACUUCAUAAUUCUUAAACAAAAAUAGCUGCUCUUCCAAGGCCACGAACCUUUGUUGAUGUUCUUGUAUAUUACCUCUACCUCCCUUACAAUUGCUUCAAGUAAAUCUAAAUCCCUUUAAACCCAAAUCUUUAGCUUUUGGGAAUUUAAACCAACAUCAAAUUGAUCCAUUUUAAGUUGCUCCUCGACACUACUAUACUCACUAUAAGAAAAAUGCAAUUUAGGAAUGAAAAUGGAUGAUAGAGUGAAAUGAGA